CGUCCUCGAUCUGUUGCGGGCAGAUGAAAUGGAUAUGCGCGUCAAACCCGCCGGGGGUGAGGAUGCGACCCUCGCCCGCGAUCACCUCGGUGCCGGGUCCGAUGACGAUCUCGACACCCGAUUGCGUGUCGGGGUUGCCCGCCUUGCCGAUGGCCGCGAUCAGCCCGUCGCGCAGACCCACAUCGGCCUUGGUGAUGCCCUGAUGAUCGACGAUCAGCGCAUUGGUGAUGACCGUGUCCAUCGCCCCGCCCGCGCGGGGGAUCUGGCUCUGCCCCAUGCCGUCGCGAAUG
This is a small RNA of Roseovarius tolerans, 290 nucleotides long. It matches the Rfam family "5' ureB small RNA". The record is from Rfam. NCBI's taxonomy places the organism in Bacteria, Pseudomonadati, Pseudomonadota, Alphaproteobacteria, Rhodobacterales, Roseobacteraceae.